RNAcentral lists this ribosomal RNA (510 nucleotides) under uncultured bacterium. RNAcentral describes it as "partial 16S ribosomal RNA". It matches the Rfam family "Bacterial small subunit ribosomal RNA", at positions 28 to 507 of the family's 1533-position model. The record is from RNAcentral.
GACGAACGCUGGCGGCGUGCUUAACACAUGCAAGUCGAACGAAGAGCGAUGGAAGCUUGCUUCUAUCAAUCUUAGUGGCGAACGGGUGAGUAACGCGUAAUCAACCUGCCCUUCAGAGGGGGACAACAGUUGGAAACGACUGCUAAUACCGCAUACGAUCUGACCCCGGCAUCGAGGAUAGAUGAAAGGUGGCCUCUACAUGUAAGCUAUCACUGAAGGAGGGGAUUGCGUCUGAUUAGCUAGUUGGAGGGGUAACGGCCCACCAAGGCGAUGAUCAGUAGCCGGUCUGAGAGGAUGAACGGCCACAUUGGGACUGAGACACGGCCCAGACUCCUACGGGAGGCAGCAGUGGGGAAUCUUCCGCAAUGGACGAAAGUCUGACGGAGCAACGCCGCGUGAGUGAUGACGGCCUUCGGGUUGUAAAGCUCUGUUAAUCGGGACGAAAGGCCUUUUUGCGAAUAGUGAGAAGGAUUGACGGUACCGGAAUAGAAAGCCACGGCUAACUACGUG